UGAGGAAUAUUGGUCAAUGGGCGGACCUCCUGAACCAGCCAUCCCGCGUGCAGGACGAAGGCCCUAUGGGUUGUAAACUGCUUUUCCUGGGGGAGAAACCCCCGCACGAGUGCGGGGUUGACGGUACCCAGGGAAUAAGCAUCGGCUAACUCCGUGCCAGCAGCCGCGGUAAUACGGAGGAUGCAAGCGUUAUCCGGAUUUAUUGGGUUUAAAGGGUGCGCAGGCGGGCCAAUAAGUCAGUGGUGAAAUCCUGCCGCUUAACGGUAGGACUGCCAUUGAUACUGUUGCGCCUUGAGUAUGGUUGAGGUAGGCGGAAUGUGCAGUGUAGCGGUGAAAUGCAUANAUAUUGCACAGAACGCCGAUUGCGGAGGCAGCUUACUAAGCCAUCACUGACGCUGAGGCACNAAAGCGUGGGUAGCGAACAGGAUUAGAUACCCUGGUAGUCCACGCCGUAAACGAUGUUCACCCGCUGUUUGCGAUACACAGCAAGCGGCUGAGCGAAAGCAUUAAGUGAACCACCUGGGGAGUACGCCCGCAAGGGUG
This 543-nucleotide ribosomal RNA is filed under the name uncultured bacterium. RNAcentral's name for it is "bacterial SSU rRNA". It matches the Rfam family "Bacterial small subunit ribosomal RNA", at positions 355 to 896 of the family's 1533-position model. The record is from RNAcentral.